This 364-nucleotide long non-coding RNA is filed under the name Vitis vinifera (wine grape). RNAcentral describes it as "long non-coding RNA (VVIN_LNC004087)". The record is from RNAcentral. Lineage: Eukaryota; Viridiplantae; Streptophyta; Magnoliopsida; Vitales; Vitaceae.
GGAAAUUGGGUUUCUUGAUUGAAUGGCUUUGCUGAAGUUUGCACUGUUAGGGAAUAAGAACCAUGGGGACUGAGAUUGCUGAUGGUGGUGGUGUUAUUGGAAGUACUAGAGUCGUAGGCUCCGUUUGGAUCCAUAAAUGAGGAAAGGAGGAAAGGGAAGGAAAUGCUGAAAAAAGCGUGAGAAUUGUGUCCAUUUCUUCAUUAAUUUUCAACAGUUUUUUUCUCUUUUGGAUUAGUUCUGUCCUUCCAAGAAUUCGGCGAAGGAAAAGGUUGGAAAUGCCUAAGAAGGGAAAACAAUUUGAGAAUUUUAUCUAGAAUCUAUAGUAUUUUACCCACAAUUUCUCGAACUACUUCAUUCUCCUAUC